GUAUAUUAAAGUUGUUGCAGUUAAAAAGCUCGUAGUUGGAUUUCGGAAGGUCCUUAGUAGUCCGCCCCUUCGGGGAGCGGGCUGCUGGCCUCCUAUGUUCCUAACGGUCCUCAUCCGCGAGGGUGGGGAAUCAACCGCUAGGAUCGUUUACUUUGAGGAAAUUAGAGUGUUCAAAGCAGGCGUAACUCGCCUCCGAAUACGUUAGCAUGGGAUAAUGGAAUACGACUUCGGUCUUGUUUCGUUGGUUUCGCUUGGCUGAAGUAAUGAUUGAUAGGGACAGUUGGGGGCAUUAGUAUUUAGUUGUCAGAGGUGAAAUUCUAGGAUUUACUAAAGACUGACCAAUGCGAAAGCAUUUGCCAAGGAUGUUUUCAUUAAUCAAGAACGAAAGUAGGGGGAUCGAAGACGAUCAGAUACCGUCGUAGUCUCUACCGUAAACUAUGCCGACCAGGGAUCCGGAGAGUUUGCAUGGAUGACUCCCCGGGCACCUUGUGAGAAAUCAUAAGUGUUUGGGUUUUGGGGGGAGUAUGGUCGCAAGGCUGAAACUUAAAGGAAUUGACGGAAGGGCACCACCAGGAGUGGAACCUGCGGCUUAAUUUGACUCAACACGGGGAAACUUACGAGGUCAGGACACUGUGAGGAUUGACAGAUUG
RNAcentral lists this ribosomal RNA (650 nucleotides) under Vermamoeba vermiformis. Its description in RNAcentral is "SSU rRNA". It matches the Rfam family "Eukaryotic small subunit ribosomal RNA", at positions 599 to 1250 of the family's 1831-position model. Lineage: Eukaryota; Tubulinea; Echinamoebida; Vermamoebidae. The record is from RNAcentral.